GAGACACAGGCACAGGCAUGUCAGGAGAAUGGAAAAAUUGAUGUUGAUUUCCAGCUUAGUAAUAAUGGCCUUGGACAUGAAGCACUGCAGGUUUUAAACAUCGAAAAUGGUGAUGAAGAAAUAUAUCCUGGUGCUCUUAUAACAAAGUCUCAAAGUGUUCUCCUGCUCGUCGCAUUUUUAUUAAAGAACAAUUUAACAGAUGCAGCUUUGACUGAUCUACUCGACAUUUUGAGUUUGAUUUUGCCGAGCACGUUUCCAUCCAGCAAGUAUAAGUUCUACAAAGCAAUUCAAGUGGAGGAAUCUCAGGGCUUGUAUUCUUGAUGAAAAUGAUCGAACUGGAUUAGAACUAGCGGCAAAUAACGUUACGGAUUUACAGUUUA
Molecule: long non-coding RNA, 380 nt
Organism: Xenia sp. Carnegie-2017
Lineage: Eukaryota; Metazoa; Cnidaria; Anthozoa; Malacalcyonacea; Xeniidae
Exons: 3
Source: RefSeq, a predicted model, not a curated record